UCNUCUGGCUUAACUGGGGGCUUGCGGUGGGUACGGGCCGGCUUGAGUGCGGUAGGGGAGACUGGAACUCCUGGUGUAGCGGUGGAAUGCGCAGAUAUCAGGAAGAACACCGGUGGCGAAGGCGGGUCCCUGGGCCGUUACUGACGCUGAGGAGCGAAAGCGUGGGGAGCGAACAGGAUUAGAUACCCUGGUAGUCCACGCCGUAAACGUUGGGCACUAGGUGUGGGGGGCCUUUUCCGGGUCUUCCGCGCCGUAGCUAACGCAUUAAGUGCCCCGCCUGGGGAGUACGGCCGCAAGGCUAAAACUCAAAGGAAUUGACGGGGGCCCGCACAAGCGGCGGAGCAUGCGGAUUAAUUCGAUGCAACGCGAAGAACCUUACCAAGGCUUGACAUGUGCCGGUCGGCUCCGGAGACGGGGUUUCCUCCUUGUGGGGCCGGUUCACAGGUGGUGCAUGGUUGUCGUCAGCUCGUGUCGUGAGAUGUUGGGUUAAGUCCCGCAACGAGCGCAACCCUUGUCCCGUGUUGCCAGCACGUUGUGGCGGGGACUCGCGGGAGACUGCCGGGGUCAACUCGGAGGAAGGUGGGGAUGACGUCAAAUCAUCAUGCCCCUUAUGUCUUGGGCUUCACGCAUGCUACAAUGGCCGGUACAGAGGGCUGCGAUACCGUGAGGUGGAGCGAAUCCCUUAAAGCCGGUCUCAGUUCGGAUCGGUGUCUGCAACUCGACACCGUGAAGUUGGAGUCGCUAGUAAUCGCAGAUCAGCAACGCUGCGGUGAAUACGUUCUCGGGCCUUGUACGCACCGCCCGUCACGUCAUGAAA
RNAcentral lists this ribosomal RNA (817 nucleotides) under uncultured bacterium. RNAcentral's name for it is "bacterial SSU rRNA". It matches the Rfam family "Bacterial small subunit ribosomal RNA", at positions 600 to 1409 of the family's 1533-position model. The record is from RNAcentral.